AAUAAGGAUCGGCUAACUCCGUGCCAGCAGCCGCGGUAAUACGGAGGAUCCAAGCGUUAUCCGGAAUCAUUGGGUUUAAAGGGUCCGUAGGUGGACAAUUAAGUCAGAGGUGAAAUCCUGCAGCUCAACUGUAGAACUGCCUUUGAUACUGUUUGUCUUGAGUUAUUAUGAAGUGGUUAGAAUGUGUAGUGUAGCGGUGAAAUGCAUAGAUAUUACACAGAAUACCGAUUGCGAAGGCAGAUCACUAAUAAUUAACUGACACUGAGGGACGAAAGCGUGGGUAGCGAACAGGAUUAGAUACCCUGGUAGUCCACGCCGUAAACGAUGGUCACUAGCUGUUUGGACUUCGGUCUGAGUGGCUAAGCGAAAGUGAUAAGUGACCCACCUGGGGAGUACGUUCGCAAGAAUGAAACU
Molecule: ribosomal RNA, 414 nt
Filed under: uncultured Flavobacteriia bacterium
Lineage: Bacteria; Pseudomonadati; Bacteroidota; Flavobacteriia
Description: bacterial SSU rRNA
Rfam family: Bacterial small subunit ribosomal RNA
Source: RNAcentral